Molecule: ribosomal RNA, 1344 nt
Filed under: uncultured bacterium
Lineage: Bacteria
Description: partial 16S ribosomal RNA
Rfam family: Bacterial small subunit ribosomal RNA
Source: RNAcentral
AAUGAACGCUGGCGGUAUGCCUAACACAUGCAAGUCGAACGGUAAGGUCUCUUUCGGGAGAUACACGAGUGGCGCACGGGUGAGUAACACGUAAGGAACCUACCUUUAACACUGGGAUAACCAUUGGAAACGAUGGCUAAUACCGGAUAAUACUUAAUAUCUUAAGAUAUUAAGUCAAAGGAGCGAUCUGGUUUUAGAUGGUCUUGCGUAUCAUUAGAUAGUUGGUGGGGUAAUGGCCUACCAAGUCAAAGAUGAUUAGCUGGUUUGAGAGGAUGAUCAGCCACACUGGAACUGAGACACGGUCCAGACUCCUACGGGAGGCAGCAGUGAGGAAUAUUGCGCAAUGGGGGGAACCCUGACGCAGCAAUACCGCGUGAGUGAAUAAUGUACUUAGUAUUGUAAAGCUCUGUGGAUGGUCAAGAUAGUGACGAUAGCCAUCUAGAAAGCACCGGCUAACUACGUGCCAGCAGCCGCGGUAAUACGUAGGGUGCGAGCGUUGUUCGGAAUUAUUGGGCGUAAAGCGAACGUAGGCGGUUUAAUAAGCUAGAUGUGAAAGACCUAAGCUUAACUUAGGACGUGCAUCUAGAACUAUUAGACUAGAGUGUGUUAUGGGAGUGCGGAAUUUCUAGUGUAGCGGUGAAAUGCGUAGAUAUUAGAAGGAACACUCGUGGCGAAGGCGGCACUCUGGGGCGACACUGACGCUGAUGUUCGAGAGCGUGGGUAGCGAACAGGAUUAGAUACCCUGGUAGUCCACGCUGUAAACGAUGAGGGCUACCUGUUUGUUGCGUUGACGCGAUGAGUGGGAGAGCUAACGCAUUAAGCCCUCCGCCUGGGGAGUACGGUCGCAAGAUUAAAAACUCAAAAGGAAUUGACGGGGGCCCGCACAAGCGGUGGAGCAUGUGGUUUAAUUCGAUGCAAACGCGAAGAACCUUACCUAGGCUUGACAUCCUGAUGACGUUAAUUGGAGACAAAUUAAUUCCCUUUUGGGCAUUGGAGACAGGUGCUGCAUGGUUGUCGUCAGCUCGUGCCGUGAGGUGUUGGGUUAAGUCCCGCAACGAGCGCAAACCCUUGCCUACAUUUGCCAUCAUUUAGUUGGGGACUAUGUAGGGACUGUCGGUGCAAACCGGAGGAAGGUGAGGAUGACGUCAAAUCAUCAUGGCCUUUAUGCCUAGGGCUACACACGUGCUACAAUGGUAAGGACAAAGAGCGGCGAGGGUGCGAGUCUGAGCGAAAUCUCAAAAACCUUAUCUCAGUUCGGAUUGGAGUCUGCAACUCGACUCCAUGAAGGUGGAAUCGCUAGUAAUCGUGGAUCAGCAUGCCACGGUGAAAUACGUUCCCGGGCCU